GCCUGCAUACGUCCCUGAAACUGCCUCUCCUGCGGCCUGGCGGCUAUGGAAGGCGGUCGUUAGGGCGGUCCUGGAAACGGGGCCGUCUCCCGUUGCGGAAAGGGGAUCGCGGAAGUUUGCC
Non-coding RNA from Synergistes sp. 3_1_syn1, 121 nucleotides. NCBI's taxonomy places the organism in Bacteria, Thermotogati, Synergistota, Synergistia, Synergistales, Synergistaceae. The record is from Rfam.